RNAcentral lists this ribosomal RNA (468 nucleotides) under uncultured bacterium. RNAcentral's name for it is "partial 16S ribosomal RNA". It matches the Rfam family "Bacterial small subunit ribosomal RNA", at positions 28 to 507 of the family's 1533-position model. The record is from RNAcentral.
GACGAACGCUGGCGGCGUGCUUAACACAUGCAAGUCGAACGGAAAGGCCACGCGUUUGCGGCGUGCUCGUGUGGCGCACGGGUGCGAAACACGCGAGUAUCCUGCACUUCACUUUCGGCUAACUUCUGGUAACUCGGGCUAAUACCGCAUAGGAGCUCCUGCUGCAUGGUGGGGGAUGGAAAGUGUCGGCGGUUGGGGCUGGACUCGCGGCUUAUCAGCUUGUUGGUGGGGUAGUGGCUGACCAAGGCUUUGACGGGUAGCCGGCCUGGGAGGGUGGCCAGCGACAUUGGGCCUAGGAUACGGCGCAGACGCGUACGGGGGGCAACAGUGGGAAGUAUGGCAGAAUGACGCGGAGCCUGAGGCAGCAGCGCCGCGUGCGGGAUGAUGGCCUUCGGGGUGUAAACCGAUGUCUCCUGUGACGAAGCGUGGGUGACGGUACUGGGUAAAGAAGCACCGGCUAACUACGUG